RNAcentral lists this ribosomal RNA (1048 nucleotides) under Salmonella enterica. RNAcentral's name for it is "partial 23S ribosomal RNA". It matches the Rfam family "Bacterial large subunit ribosomal RNA", at positions 711 to 1756 of the family's 2925-position model. Lineage: Bacteria; Pseudomonadati; Pseudomonadota; Gammaproteobacteria; Enterobacterales; Enterobacteriaceae. The record is from RNAcentral.
AGACCCGAAACCCGGUGAUCUAGCCAUGGGCAGGUUGAAGGUUGGGUAACACUAACUGGAGGACCGAACCGACUAAUGUUGAAAAAUUAGCGGAUGACCUGUGGCUGGGGGUGAAAGGCCAAUCAAACCGGGAGAUAGCUGGUUCUCCCCGAAAGCUAUUUAGGUAGCGCCUCGUGAAUUCAUCUCCGGGGGUAGAGCACUGUUUCGGCUAGGGGGCCAUCCCGGCUUACCAACCCGAUGCAAACUGCGAAUACCGGAGAAUGUUAUCACGGGAGACACACGGCGGGUGCUAACGUCCGUCGUGAAGAGGGAAACAACCCAGACCGCCAGCUAAGGUCCCAAAGUCAUGGUUAAGUGGGAAACGAUGUGGGAAGGCCCAGACAGCCAGGAUGUUGGCUUAGAAGCAGCCAUCAUUUAAAGAAAGCGUAAUAGCUCACUGGUCGAGUCGGCCUGCGCGGAAGAUGUAACGGGGCUAAACCAUGCACCGAAGCUGCGGCAGCGACACUCAGGUGUCGUUGGGUAGGGGAGCGUUCUGUAAGCCUGCGAAGGUGGCCUGUGAGGGUUGCUGGAGGUAUCAGAAGUGCGAAUGCUGACAUAAGUAACGAUAAAGCGGGUGAAAAGCCCGCUCGCCGGAAGACCAAGGGUUCCUGUCCAACGUUAAUCGGGGCAGGGUGAGUCGACCCCUAAGGCGAGGCCGAAAGGCGUAGUCGAUGGGAAACGGGUUAAUAUUCCCGUACUUGGUGUUACUGCGAAGGGGGGACGGAGAAGGCUAUGUUGGCCGGGCGACGGUUGUCCCGGUUUAAGCGUGUAGGUGUGUGUUCCAGGUAAAUCCGGUUCACUUUAACACUGAGGCGUGAUGACGAGGCACUACGGUGCUGAAGCAACAAAUGCCCUGCUUCCAGGAAAAGCCUCUAAGCAUCAGGUAACAUCAAAUCGUACCCCAAACCGACACAGGUGGUCAGGUAGAGAAUACCAAGGCGCUUGAGAGAACUCGGGUGAAGGAACUAGGCAAAAUGGUGCCGUAACUUCGGGAGAAGGCACGCUGACA